UCAUAACGAUACAGUACACACACACACACACACACAAGCUGACCUAUUCUAUGGCUGUGCAGCUGGAUGAGUCAACCUUGCCUGGUAUUGGUCUAUUCAACACACAGAGACUGAAGACUAAAAUAUUUCUGCAUUAGAGAUUUGCUAUGGACUGAUGCUUGCACCCUGAAUGCCUCAAAUGAAGCAGAUCUUAUCCCUGUACACAUUUUGGCUUCACAAACACAGUAGGCAUGGAACCAGAAAUACUAUGACCAUAAACUGCCUGAUGUCAGGUCAUUGAUUGAUAGGUUGAGCAGUAUGCACUUUGGAUUGUCAUCAACCUAGUCCUGAGUUCAAAGCCUGCCAGCUGGAUGUCAUGCAGGAAUAAUGAGCUAAGAGGUAUUGUUUCGCCCUUUUUAACUGUACGCAACUGCUCCAUAGCUUCUUCUCUAGAAUAUGGCAGGAGAAUGAACUUGAAUGAGAGAUGAUCAAUAGGCUGGUUGUACUUUCUAGCAAAAUUUUGAAGAGUUCCAGUCAAG
Molecule: long non-coding RNA, 518 nt
Organism: Biomphalaria glabrata
Lineage: Eukaryota; Metazoa; Mollusca; Gastropoda; Planorbidae
Exons: 3
Source: RefSeq, a predicted model, not a curated record